RNAcentral lists this long non-coding RNA (475 nucleotides) under Urocitellus parryii (Arctic ground squirrel). Its description in RNAcentral is "lncRNA (ENSUPAG00010019439.1)". Lineage: Eukaryota; Metazoa; Chordata; Mammalia; Rodentia; Sciuridae. The record is from RNAcentral.
GUUAUUACUUGUUUGUAUUUAUAUCUCCCAUCUAGACUGUCAUUUACCUGUAGUUAGGGACCACAGAUUCUCAUUUUUAUUUCCACAGUUUCUGAAAAAGUGUGUGAAGCAUGCUCAGAAUCAAUAAGCUUCCACUUAAUAAAUGAGAAAGGAGUGAACUCAUCAGAAUCCCAGAGAUUGCUGAAAAAAAUUACCACGGAAGUUUUCAUGAGAAGAUGAGAAACAACAGGUCGAGAAUCUGCUGCAUCAAAGCUCUGGUGGAAUAAACAGGGGAAGAAAAAUCUCAAAGGUUCACAGCCAGGUUUUAGAGAUGAAGGGCAGGAUGCUGGGCUGUACUCCUGCACAAACUUUCAACUUGUGCACUUGGAAAGCUGUGUUCUUUCCAUCAAAGGGCAGAGACUCUAACAGGUAGGAACUUUGACUUGCACUGUACAACAGAGCUGCCAAGGAUGAUGUCAUGACCCUUGUAAACGUC